This 253-nucleotide ribosomal RNA is filed under the name uncultured bacterium. RNAcentral describes it as "partial 16S ribosomal RNA". It matches the Rfam family "Bacterial small subunit ribosomal RNA", at positions 524 to 776 of the family's 1533-position model. The record is from RNAcentral.
UACAGGGGUCUCAAGCGUUGUUCGGAUUCAUUGGGCGUAAAGGGUGCGUAGGUGGGCAGGUAAGUCAGUGGUGAAAUCUCCGGGCUUAACCCGGAAACUGCCAUUGAUACUAUCUGUCUUGAAUACCGUGGAGGUGAGCGGAAUAUGUCAUGUAGCGGUGAAAUGCUUAGAUAUGACAUAGAACACCAAUUGCGAAGGCAGCUCACUACGCGAAUAUUGACACUGAGGCACGAAAGCGUGGGGAUCAAACAGG